UUGAAUAUAAAGAAAAGACGAACAGCUCAGUAACUCUUAUUUUAUUUGAUGUAUUAGGAUUAUAACUAUGUUAAAUUAUAGAUAACAAUAAUACAAUAAGAAUAAGAUCUAUCAGUUAGUUGUUAAGGUAAUGGCUUAACAAGACUAUGACGGAUAACGGUAUUACUUUGUAAUAUUCCGGAGAAGGAGCCUGAGAGAUUGCUACUAAGUCUAAGGAUUGCAGCAGGGGCGAAACUUGACCUAUGAUAUGAUAUUGAGGCAGUUAUGAGUAGUAUUUUUAAUUAUUGUAGUAUUGUAAGUAUAUACUACAAGAUAAAUCGGAGGGCAAAUCGAGUGCCAGCAGCCGCGGUAAUACUUGUUCCGAUAGUGUGUAUGAUGAUUGAUGCAGUUAAAAAGUCUGUAGUUUAUGAUUAAUAAGCAUUGUGAGGUAUAUUGUAUGGUUAGGAGAGAGAUGAAAUGUGAUAACCCUAACUGGAUGAACAGAAGCGAAAGCUAUAUACUUAAAUGUAUUAUUAGAACAAGGACGUAAGCUAGAGGAUCGAAGAUGAUUAGAUACCAUUGUAGUUCUAGCAGUAAACUAUGUUAAAUCAUAGAUACAUUUUAAUAUGUAUUUAUGUAAAGAAAUUAAGAUUAUAUUGACUCUGGGGAUAGUAUGAUCGCAAGAUUGAAAAUUAAAGAAAUUGACGGAAGAAUACCACAAGGAGUGGAUUGUGC
RNAcentral lists this ribosomal RNA (714 nucleotides) under Nosema granulosis. RNAcentral's name for it is "partial small subunit ribosomal RNA". It matches the Rfam family "Microsporidia small subunit ribosomal RNA", at positions 60 to 820 of the family's 1311-position model. The record is from RNAcentral. Lineage: Eukaryota; Fungi; Microsporidia; Nosematidae.